UUAAUCCACAACCCUGUGCAGUCUGCUCUGGGGCAAACUAAUGGGAAAGAAAUGAGAAAGUUCCCAAGUCAGAGCGGCCAACAGGAUGAGGUAAUUACGUAGGCUGGAGAGAGGAGAAGGGGGAGGGGAGACCUGUUGCAAAUCAGCGUCUCCAGACUAAACAAAAGAAUCCAGGGCUGCGUGGUUCUUUGUAUGCAAUUCAAAAGUUUCUACACGCAAAAAGCGACUUCGCCACUAACUUUAGUCCUUCUGAAUUAUCACUGUUCAACAGACUGGCCAGAAAAAGUGCUUAAAGCCCACGAAGACACUGGUUUUCAACCAACCUACCCUUUUUCGUCUUCAUCUCCGUGCGAAAAUGCCCACUUUUUCCUCGUCAAGCGAAGAAGAAAAUUGUCUUCUGUAAAGGCGUUUAUUUGGGCGGGCAGUCAGAAUGAAGACGACGACGACAACAACAACAACAACAGGCUGGCGGAGAGCACUGCGGACCUCGUGGUAACAUCUUCCACACAACAAUAAAUAAAUAAAUAACCACAAUGAAAAAUCACAACACUAUUGCCCCAGACUACUAUUUGGCGAUUGGGCCGUGUGGUGUGUCUGUGUGAUAUUCAGGAAUACGUU
Xiphias gladius (swordfish) is the source of this 618-nucleotide long non-coding RNA. RefSeq lists it as uncharacterized. NCBI's taxonomy places the organism in Eukaryota, Metazoa, Chordata, Actinopteri, Istiophoriformes, Xiphiidae. The record is from RefSeq and is a predicted model, not a curated record. The transcript has 3 exons.